AGAGUUAGCUAGACAGUCGCUGUAUUAAGACUUUGUCUUGAUACAGAGGAAAGUCCGGGCUCCACAGGGCAAAGUGCCAGGUAAUUCCUGGGAGGUGUAAGCCUACGGAAAGUGCCACAGAAAAUAUACCGCCUACUAAUGAUACUCACAGCAAUUGGGUUUUGAGAAGACGCCGCGAAAGUCAUGAACCGUAGUGUAUGAAAAUACAUGAGGAUUGCGAAUUGAGUGGCAACACAGACAAAAAUUCAAGUGCGUAUAGUGUAAAAUACUAGGUAAGGGUGAAAAGGUGCGGUAAAAGCGCACCGCGUCAUUGGUAACAAUGAUGGCAGGGCAAACCCCACUUGGAGCAAGACCAAAUAGGAACCUAUUUUGGCGUGGCCCACGUCAGGUUCGGGUAGGUCGCUUGAGGUAUAGAGUGAUCUAUAUCCUAGACGAAUGACUGUCCUCGACAGAACCCGGCUUAUCGGCUGACUUUCAAC
This 479-nucleotide RNase P RNA is filed under the name Rickettsiella sp. RNAcentral's name for it is "RNase P RNA component class A". It matches the Rfam family "Bacterial RNase P class A". From Rfam's summary of the family: Ribonuclease P (RNase P) is a ubiquitous endoribonuclease, found in archaea, bacteria and eukarya as well as chloroplasts and mitochondria. Its best characterised activity is the generation of mature 5'-ends of tRNAs by cleaving the 5'-leader elements of precursor-tRNAs. Lineage: Bacteria; Pseudomonadati; Pseudomonadota; Gammaproteobacteria; Legionellales; Coxiellaceae. The record is from RNAcentral.